GAUGAACGCUGGCGGCGUGCCUAAUACAUGCAAGUCGAGCGAACAGACGAGGAGCUUGCUCCUCUGACGUUAGCGGCGGACGGGUGAGUAACACGUGGAUAACCUACCUAUAAGACUGGGAUAACUUCGGGAAACCGGAGCUAAUACCGGAUAAUAUAUUGAACCGCAUGGUUCAAUAGUGAAAGACGGUUUUGCUGUCACUUAUAGAUGGAUCAGCGCCGCAUUAGCUAGUUGGUAAGGUAACGGCUUACCAAGGCAACGAUGCGUAGCCGACCUGAGAGGGUGAUCGGCAACACUGGAACUGAGACACGGUCCAGACUCCUACGGGAGGCAGCAGUAGGGAAUCUUACGCAAUGGGCGAAAGCCUGACGGAGCAACGCCGCGUGAGUGAUGAAGGUCUUCGGAUCGUAAAACUCUGUUAUUAGGGAAGAACAAAUGUGUAAGUAACUAUGCACGUCUUGACGGUACCUAAUCAGAAAGCCACGGCUAACUACGUG
RNAcentral lists this ribosomal RNA (497 nucleotides) under uncultured bacterium. RNAcentral's name for it is "partial 16S ribosomal RNA". It matches the Rfam family "Bacterial small subunit ribosomal RNA", at positions 28 to 507 of the family's 1533-position model. The record is from RNAcentral.